AGCGAACGCUGGCGGCAGGCCUAACACAUGCAAGUCGAACGAACUCUUCGGAGUUAGUGGCGGACGGGUGAGUAACACGUGGGAACGUGCCUUUUGGUUCGGAAUAACUCAGGGAAACUUGUGCUAAUACCGAAUGUGCCCUUCGGGGGAAAGAUUUAUCGCCAUUAGAGCGGCCCGCGUCUGAUUAGCUAGUUGGGGAGGUAACGGCUCACCACGGCGACGAUCAGUAGCGGGUCUGAGAGGAGGACCAGCCACACUGGGACUGAGACACGGCCCAGACUCCUACGGGAGGCAGCAGAGGGGAAUCUUGCGCAAUGAGCGAAAGCCUGACGCAGCCAUGCCGCGUGAAUGAUGAAGGUCUUAGGAUUGUAAAAUUCUUUCAACGGGGACGAUAAUGACGGUACCCGGAGAAGAAGCCCCGGCUAACUUCGUG
RNAcentral lists this ribosomal RNA (433 nucleotides) under uncultured bacterium. RNAcentral describes it as "partial 16S ribosomal RNA". It matches the Rfam family "Bacterial small subunit ribosomal RNA", at positions 29 to 507 of the family's 1533-position model. The record is from RNAcentral.